This 2802-nucleotide small RNA is filed under the name Pan troglodytes (chimpanzee). RNAcentral's name for it is "retained intron". Lineage: Eukaryota; Metazoa; Chordata; Mammalia; Primates; Hominidae. The record is from RNAcentral.
UGGUAGGUGGUAUAUUCAGUAGAUGGUAAAUAAAUGACCAAUUCUUCAGUGAGACACUGACUUUCUAUACCUGCAUUUAUGUACCUUGAUUUUUAAAAAUUUUUGGAUAAACUUGCAUGUGUUUGGCACAAAGAGAGCACAAAGUAGAGGCCCUUCAAGUUCUCUUCAGCUGGUACAAGAAGAGAUUAUUUUGACUGGUCUUUACGGUCUUCAGCAAAAGAGAUUAUAAUAAUCAUUUUUUUUUGGGAGCUAAUAAUAUUUUCAAUUGAAGGUAGUUUUUCCACAUGCACAUCUAUGCUCAUUAGCAAAGGAUGUAGUGCACCUCCCUGACUACUUUAGGAUUUUCUUUUCAGAUUUUAUGGAACUUGUUAACCUCUGGAAUGCCUAAGUUUAAAUAAAAAUAUUGUUUUGAGUUUAUAUUGAGCUAUAUAUUUUAUCUGUAUAAUCUAUUAUAUAUGUAUUGCAUAGAGUUUAUAUUGAGCUGUAUAUAAUAGCCAAUAUUUGGGGCUCUAUGCUUGGAACAUUUUAAGAAAAAUAUUCUAUUUUGAUUAUAUGGUCCAGGAAUUAAUCUAUUUUUAUUUUUCAUUGCAGAUGGAGUCGGGUGGUACAGUUUUGAGUACCAACUGGUCUGAUGUAGGUAAAAGGAAAGUUGAAAUCAAUCCUCCUGAUGAUAUGGAAUGGAAAAAGUACUAAAUAAAUUAAUUUGCUCUCAUUGUAUUGUGUAUAUUCACCUAAUGCCCAUUGUGUAUUGAUAUUGCAUUCUUGAAUUUUGAACACUGAAUAUCUUUUUGAAAGAUUAUACUUCUUUACCUCUUUGUGCUUUAGAAAUUAUUUUCCUUCAAGUGUUCAAGUCUAAUGAAGAAUGAAGAUAACAUUUUAUCACUUCUGUCCUUAAAGAUUUCAGACAUGGUGAAACUGAAUAAAGCGUGUCAUUUGCUCCUAGAUAGAUUCAUUCUAUCUAGUUGUGGGGAUGGAGAAAUCUUUAAUGGUAUAUUUUUGGUUAUUGCCUUAUUUUUGAUGCAGUAUUCUGUCAGUAAUUUAUUAGACCUGGCAGCUUUGGGUGAGCUUAGAUUUUUCACCUUCAGUGUUACAUUGUGUUUGCUUUUAAAAACUGCUUUUGAAUGGAGUUGUAAAUACAAUUUUUCUAUGAAGAUGUUUGGUUUAUUUACCUUUUUCUUAAGUUUUUAAUGAGAACUUUGAGAAAUUAUCACAGGGAAUUCCCAUGUAGUUCUUUUAAUGGGAAGAAUUUGUAAUUUUAAUUGCACUGAGAUAUUUUGGUCGUUACCUUGCAAGUUUCUGUAUAAAACAUAGAUACCUGAGUUUUAACACACUGCAAGUUUAUACUAAGGAUAAUCUGUGAAGGUGGGGCAAAGAAGGUUCUAGGAAAGCCCAACUCCACUUGCUUCUUUUAUCACGACAGGAUUCUUGAAAUUACAGCAUUGAUGGGUUUUUUGGUAUUUUUUUUCUUUAUUAGAAAAUCUCUGUUGUCACGUCCCCGUGAUUACUUUGGUUUCAUUGGUUUAUGGUAAUUGCUGUGAGAGUAAAUUAAUGUGUAUAUGUUUAGUAUUUACUCUGUGCCUAGAAUAUAUAGAUAUCAUGAGAAUACAAAAAGUAAAAGACAUGAUUAUUAACUUCAAAGAGCUUAUAAAUGUAGCAGGGAAAAAAAUAACAUUCAUGAAGGAACUGUGGAAAGAUUGAAUGCUGAACUCGGUAUAAAUACACUUUAGAGACAGGAAAAUGUUCUGUGAUUAAAAUUGUUUACAGUCUAGGCUUUUAUAAAGUAUAGGUUAUGGAUGACCUGUAGAUCUGACUUUGUUUUCUCACCAUGAUUUUCUCAACUGUAAUACCCCAGAUGUUGGUCUCAGCUCUGUUAGGUGUCACUAACAUUUUUAUGGCAAAGCACUACUCUAUACCCUCAGAGCAGGGGGAGUGGGAGGCAAACGGGUCAUCAUUUCAGCCUCCAAAACAGUAGGAAUUCAGCUCCUUCCUUCUAGUCCUUUGUUGUGGGGUGUAGGGGAGUUACUAAGGAAAGUUUCAGUAAGGUGAUACCAUAUAGUGCCCAAACCUGUUGUUAUAGCUUGUUUAAGCAUUCUAGAGUUUUCACUUGUCCUUCUGUCCACUUAGAGCUACUAGAUACAUUUUUUUCUUCUUGAACACUGAAGGAAAAGGCAAAAUUAAGUUUUGGUUGGAUGGAUUUCUAAAGUUUUCUUCUUAGGAAAAUAGGAUAGUGACUUUUGUAUUCUGUAUGUUAAAUUUUCUCAGUACCAUUAAUCCUAAGAUGAAGAGGAAGGCUAUUGCUGCAGAGGCAUAGUUGAGGACAUAUAGCACUACACCAGAGACAAGAAUGCUUAGCUCUAGCAAGUCUUCUGUCAUUGACUACCUUCAUAAUCUUCAGCAGGUUUAGGCCUUUCUUAGUUCCUUUGUAAAUAAUCCAUAGAGUCUUAGAGUUAUAAUUAAAGGUCCAUGGUUCUAAAUACAGAAGCAUAUUUUUGCCGCUUAACUUUUUCUUUCUUAAAAAUGACACUAUUAAAAUAGCUGUUUCUGACCAGGUGCGGUAGCUCAUGCUUGUAAUCCCAGCAUUUUGGGAGGCGGAGGUGGGCAGAUCACCUGAGGUCAGGAGUUCAAGACCAGCCUGGCCAACAUGGUGAAACCCUGUGUCUACUAAAAAUGCAAAAAUUAGCUGGGUGUAGUGGCAUGCACCUGUGGUCCCAGCUACUUGGGAGGCUCAGGCAGGGAGAAUUGCUUGAACCGGGAGGCAGAGGGUGCAGUGAGCCAAGAUCAUGCCACUGCACUCCAGCCUGG